RNAcentral lists this ribosomal RNA (235 nucleotides) under uncultured bacterium. RNAcentral describes it as "partial 16S ribosomal RNA". It matches the Rfam family "Bacterial small subunit ribosomal RNA", at positions 99 to 334 of the family's 1533-position model. The record is from RNAcentral.
CGGACGGGUGAGUAACGCGUGGGUAACCUACCCUGUACACACAGAUAACAUACCGAAAGGUAUGCUAAUACGGGAUAAUAUAUUUGAGAGGCAUCUCUUGAAUAUCAAAGGUGAGCCAGUACAGGAUGGACCCGCGUCUGAUUAGCUAGUUGGUAAGGUAACGGCUUACCAAGGCGACGAUCAGUAGCCGACCUGAGAGGGUGAUCGGCCGCAUUGGAACUGAGACACGGUCCAA